This is a non-coding RNA of Salmo salar (Atlantic salmon), 580 nucleotides long. The record is from RefSeq and is a predicted model, not a curated record. Lineage: Eukaryota; Metazoa; Chordata; Actinopteri; Salmoniformes; Salmonidae.
UAUGGAUGUGCUACAGAGUUAGUAACCAGUGAAGUUUAACUCAGCCUAUUAAGAACCAAUUCUUAUUUACAUUGACGGCCUACCCCUGUUUCCAGUUGUCCACAUGGCUGGAAGAACCUAUUCAAGUAACUAAAUAAAGAGCUCUAUGAAAGCCAGUCUACAUAUGAAGAGGUCCCAAUGAAGAGCAGUGGUUCUCAGUCCUGGGGACUCAGAGGGGCACAUUUCUGUUUUUGCCUUCACACUGCACAGCUGAUUCAAAUGAUCAACUCAUCAUCAAGCUUCAAGUGAGACUUUGUAACUGGAGAUUUCUUCAAAACGAUUGCCUACAGUUACCGUGUAGGGCACUGCAAGGUUGGGUGACCAGGGUCAUCUGGGACUGCCUCCUGGAGGAAUUCAGGUGUGUGAAGGCUACCUGUGUCCUGCGUAACUUCAUGAGGAUGGACACGAGGACCAGGAGGGGAUCUGCAGCUCGCCGCCGUGUGCCAGAGGAGGAGUCUGCUGCUCUGCAGGAUGUUUCAAGGAUGGGGUCCAACAACGCAGCAAGAGAGGCAAUCCGUGUGCAGGAGAUCUUCACCUCCUA